CCCCUAUUGAAAAAGUGACGAGUGCAGCGACUAGUGAAGAUGCAAGUAAAAGUACAACAACUAUGCCAGCAACAAAAGCAACGACACCAACGUACUUCUGCGACAUCAGAAGCUACUACGAGUAGAUCACCUACUGGAUCACAAAGUGACGGUAUACUAUACUUCAUCUAAUUCAUUGACGUCUAUAGACUAGAUAUAUAUCUAGAUAUUCAUUGACUUGACUAACUGAAUUGAAAUAAGAAAUCGUUUAUCGUAUACUGUCUACUUUUCUACAGCAGGUGGUGGACAAGAAAGUGGAAGAAAGUCUUCAGAUCUGACGGGUGUUGCAGUAUCAGGAUGGGUUGUAUCCGUCUUGCUAUUUGGAGUUAUACUUAUUAUGAUAUGGAUAAUUAGAAAACAUCGAGAAUCUAGUCAGAAAAAAUGCGAAGAGACAGCAAUGAGAGAAAAUCCUUCUUACAAUUUUAUAUCAUCACACGCUAGAGGAGGAACGGCUCCAUCAUCGACUGAUGCUGUGCAGUACGAAGAGAUAGGAAUGGAUGCAACUAGACGCCAAUGUUCCUACGAGAACAUUUCUAAGUCCUGACGACGCAAAAACCAGACAGAUGUAGAACAUCUAGCAGACGAAUGUAGCUCAUCAAUCCUAUCAGCACUCAUGCUUCUAGCUAAUCAACAACUACACUACUAGUACUGUUUUUCAAGUUGUAUUUACACGUUUUUCUUCAUUAUUUUACAGUAUACAUCUGUUUAUUAACUAACUUUAAUUUGAUUAGCGAAAAGCUGAUUUUACAAGACAGUUAAUUAAUUGCCAAUUUGAGUAGGAGGCUCUAGAAGAAUAUUA
Long non-coding RNA from Corticium candelabrum, 838 nucleotides. RefSeq lists it as uncharacterized. The transcript is spliced from 3 exons. Lineage: Eukaryota; Metazoa; Porifera; Homoscleromorpha; Homosclerophorida; Plakinidae. The record is from RefSeq and is a predicted model, not a curated record.